Molecule: ribosomal RNA, 1100 nt
Filed under: Anaerostipes hadrus
Lineage: Bacteria; Bacillati; Bacillota; Clostridia; Lachnospirales; Lachnospiraceae
Description: partial 23S ribosomal RNA
Rfam family: Bacterial large subunit ribosomal RNA
Source: RNAcentral
AAAACCGCAAGGUGAAGUAUAUGGGCUGACGCCUGCCCGGUGCUGGAAGGUUAAGGGGAGAGGUUAGCGCAAGCGAAGCUUUGAACUUAAGCCCCAGUAAACGGCGGCCGUAACUAUAACGGUCCUAAGGUAGCGAAAUUCCUUGUCGGGUAAGUUCCGACCCGCACGAAAGGCGUAAUGAUUUGGGCACUGUCUCAACGAUACACCCGGUGAAAUUGAAAUACCAGUGAAGAUGCUGGUUACCUGCGCCAGGACGGAAAGACCCCAUGGAGCUUUACUCCAGUUUGAUACUGGGAUUCGGCAUGGUAUGUACAGGAUAGGUGGGAGACUGAGAAGGUAUGACGUCAGUUGUACCGGAGUCGCUGUUGGGAUACCACCCUUACCAUGUUGGAUUUCUAACCUGUGGCCGUAAGCCGGUCAGGGGACAAUGUCAGGCGGGGAGUUUGACUGGGGCGGUCGCCUCCGAAAGGGUAUCGGAGGCGCUCAAAGGUUCCCUCAGAAUGGUUGGAAACCAUUCGAAGAGUGCAAAGGCAGAAGGGAGCUUGACUGUGACACCGACGGGUGGAGCAGGUACGAAAGUAGGACUUAGUGAUCCGGUGGUAUAAAGUGGGAUUGCCAUCGCUCAACGGAUAAAAGCUACCCUGGGGAUAACAGGCUUAUCACUCCCAAGAGUUCACAUCGACGGAGUGGUUUGGCACCUCGAUGUCGGCUCAUCGCAUCCUGGAGCUGUAGCAGGUUCCAAGGGUUGGGCUGUUCGCCCAUUAAAGCGGUACGCGAGCUGGGUUCAGAACGUCGUGAGACAGUUCGGUCCCUAUCCGGCGCAGGCGGAGGAAAUUUGAUAGGAGCUGUCCUUAGUACGAGAGGACCGGGAUGGACGGACCGCUGGUGUAUCUGUUGUACUGCCAAGUGCAUAGCAGAGUAGCCAAGUCUGGAAGGGAUAAACGCUGAAGGCAUCUAAGCGUGAAGCCCCCCUAAAGAUAAGAUUUCCCAUACCGAAAGGUAGUAAGACCCCUUGAAGACGACGAGGUAGAUAGGGCAGAGGUGGAAGUACGGUAACGUAUGGAGCUGACUGUUACUAAUCGGUCGAGGCUUUAACCAAA